Molecule: ribosomal RNA, 433 nt
Filed under: uncultured bacterium
Lineage: Bacteria
Description: partial 16S ribosomal RNA
Rfam family: Bacterial small subunit ribosomal RNA
Source: RNAcentral
AACGAACGCUGGCGGCAUGCCUAACACAUGCAAGUCGAACGAGACCUUCGGGUCUAGUGGCGCACGGGUGCGUAACGCGGGGGAACCUGCCCUUAGGUUCGGAAUAACUCCCCGAAAGGGGUGCGAAUACCGGAUAAUGUCUUCGGACCAAAGAUUGAUCGCCUUUGGGGGGGCCGGCGUUGUAUUAGCUAGUUGGUAGGGUAAAAGCGUCUCAAGGCUACGUUACAUAACUGGUAAGAGAGGAAGGGCAGACACACUGGUGGUGAGACACGGCCGGGAAUAUUAGGGGAGGGAGGAGUGGGUAAUAUUGGAAAGUCGGGGGAAGCAUGAUGCAGCAAGGACGGGUGAGUGAUGAAGGCCGUAGGGUUGUAAAGCUAUUUUAUCCGGGAUGAUAAUGACAGUACCGGGAGAAUAAGCUGCGGCUAACUCCGUG